GGCUGGUGAUGGCGGCGGCUAUGGGUUCCGCGCUGUUGCCCCUCUUGGCGUUUCUCGGGCCCGCGGCCGCGCUCGCCGGAUACAUCGAGGCCCUUGCAGCCAAUGCUGGGACAGGGUUUGCAGUGGCAGAACCUCAAAUUGCCAUGUUCUGUGGGAAGCUAAAUAUGCAUGUGAACAUCCAGACUGGGAAAUGGGAACCUGACACUUCUGGGACCAAGAGCUGCUUUGGAAGAAAGGAGGAGAUUCUGCAAUACUGCCAGGAGAUGUACCCAGACCUUCAGAUCACCAACGUGGUAGAAGCCAACCAGCCCGUCAGCAUUGACAGCUGGUGCAAGCGUGGGAAGAAGCAGUGCAAGGACCACACUCACAUCGUUGUGCCAUACAAGUGCCUGGUGGGUGAGUUUGUAAGUGAUGUCCUGUUGGUGCCCGAGAAGUGCCGGUUCUUCCACAAGGAGCGCAUGGAUGUGUGUGAAAGCCACCAGCACUGGUACACUGUGGCAAAGGAGGCCUGUCUGACAGAAGGGAUGAUCCUGCACAGCUAUGGGAUGCUGCUGCCCUGCGGAGUGGACCAGUUCCAUGGAACAGAAUAUGUGUGCUGUCCUCAGACUAAGGUUGUGGAUGAGGCUCUGUCCAAAGAGGAAGAGGAUGAGGAUGAAGACUAUGACCUCUACAAGAGUGAGUUCCCUACAGAGGCAGGUGUAGAAGACUUCACAGGAACAGCUGUGGAGGAAGAUGAGGAUGAGGAUGAUGAAGGGGAAGAGGAGGAGGAUGUGGUGGAAGACCGUGAUUACUACUAUGACAGCUACAAGGUUGAUGACUACAAUGAAGAGACACCCACAGAGCCCAGUAGUGACAAGGCUAUGUCUGAAAAAGAAGUGAGCAGUGACAUGAAAUCUGUCUGCUCCCAGGAGGCCAUGACAGGGCCCUGCCGGGCUGUGAUGCCUCGUUGGUACUUCGAUCCUAACAAGAGAAAAUGCAUUCGCUUUAUAUAUGGAGGCUGCGGAGGCAACAGGAACAAUUUUGAGUCAGAGGAGUAUUGUAUGGCUGUGUGUAAAAAGAUGAGUAAGUCCUUGCCAACUGAUGAUGUGGAUGUGUAUUUUGAAACCCCUGCUGAUGACAAUGAGCAUGCCCGCUUCCAGAAGGCCAAGGAGCAGCUGGAGGUCAGGCACCACAACCGCAUGGACCGGGUGAAAAAGGAGUGGGAGGAAGCAGAGCACCAGGCUGUUAAUCUCCCCAAGGCAGAAAGGCAGACUCUGAUCCAGCACUUCCAGGCCAUGGUAAAAUCUCUGGAGAAAGAAGCAGCGAGUGAGAAGCAGCAGCUGGUGGAGACUCACCUGGCUCGUGUGGAAUGGUUUGACCUAUUCCCUGCUCCUGUCCUGCAGCCCCACCGCAUCCUGCAGGCCCUGAAGCGCUAUGUCCGUGCCGAGAACAAGGAUAGGCUGCACACCAUCCGCCACUACCAGCAUGUCCUGGCAGUGGAUCCGGAGAAGGCUGCACAGAUGAAAUCCCAGGUGAUGACACAUCUUCAUGUGAUUGAGGAACGGAUGAAUCAAAGCUUGUCUCUGCUCUACAAGGUGCCAUAUGUGGCUGAAGAAAUCCAGGAUGAAAUUGAUGAGCUGCUUCAGGAGCAGCGUGCAGACAUGGAUCAGUUCACAUCCUCCAUUUCUGAGUCCCAGGUGGAUGUCAGAGUGAGCUCUGAGGAGAGUGAAGAAAUUCCCCUGGAUGGCAAACCUUUCCACCCGUUCCAGGUGAAAACCUUCCCAGCCUUGCCUGAAAGUGAAGGUAUGGCUGAUGGGCUCUCCUUCUCUUUUGGUGCAGGUUCUGGCAUGACUGAGCUGGAUGGGCUGAUUGGUGCUGAAGAAAAAGUGAUUAAUAGCAAGAACAAGGUGGAUGAAAAUGUGGUAAUUGAUGAAACCCUUGAUGUGAAGGAGAUGAUUUUCAACGCAGAGCGUGUCGGAGGGCUGGUGGAUGAGCCGGAUAAUGACAACUCCCUCCGUGAUGACUUUGGCUUCAGCAGCAGUGCCCUUAUUGGGCUGUUGGUGAUUGCUGUUGCCAUAGCUACUGUUAUAGUCAUCAGCUUGGUGAUGCUGAGGAAGAGGCAGUAUGGGACUAUCAGCCAUGGAAUUGUGGAGGUUGACCCGAUGCUCACCCCUGAGGAGCGGCAUCUGAGCAAGAUGCAAAACCAUGGCUAUGAGAAUCCCACUUACAAAUACCUGGAGCAGAUGCAGAUAUAAAAGAGAUGAAGAUGGAAUAGCCCCGAUAGGAAAAGGUGCGGGGCGAAGGGCCAAAGUGGUCCAGUGUUUUGGAUCAACUACUGACCAACAGUUGCUUCAAGAGGACUUCAUCUUACAUUCAGAACUCCUGGAUCAUUAAGACUAUAAUUACUACUGUAGAGUUGCAAUUUCCAUUCUUUAAAAUGGGUGAAGAAAUGAUAAUAUAACAAUAUGAUAUAUAAAUCUCCUUAAAUGGGAAAAAUUGAUCUAUUGCAGAUAUUUGACUGAGAUGUAGUUUUCUUUUUUUUUUAAUAAUCUGAAAAAUACCAGUUCUGUUGUACUGUUGUCUGAUACAAGCUCUAUAUAUAUAAAAAUGGGAAAUGUUGAUUUUUAUUUCUGAUAGACCACCUGUAUAUUGAGGGUUGUUUGUACCAGCCCACCUUCAAAAAAGGAGGCAGUUGCGGCUCUUUGGUCAUUUUGGCUUUUGUAUAUAAAGCAUUAUUCUUUUCCUUUUUUUUUUUAAGUGAAUUUCACUGGGACUUGCAAAGAGAUUAAUUUAGGGAUAGAAGCUAUAACAGCAUAAGCAAAGAAGCAAUUGGGAACAGUAACUAACAAAAUUCCCUAUAAUGAGACAAAAAAAAGGAAAAGAGAAAAAAAAGGAAAAAAACCCUCAUCUUCAUAUGCCAGUGGUGUGCACCCUGCUGCUUAGCAGCUUGGGCUCUAGGAAUCAAGACUCCCUGGAGGCAAGGAGUUAAAAGGCUUCUAGCAUCUCUGUUUAUAGUUAUUCUAGUAGAAUGUUAGAACAUGGUUUGUGCAUACUUGGGUCUGCACAUUCCCCUUCGAGAUUCAGUUCUGCUCUAGAGUUGGAAGUUCUGGUAUUGAAUUGAAAUCCUCUGUUCUCAGCCAGUUUCCUUCAGUACUCACCUGGCAUUAACAGCCCCGUCUUGCUACUACUUUCUAAUUUCCCCAGCUCUCCUGCCUCACCAACAUGGUAAGUAGUUAAGAGCCACAGGUUUCUGAGCCUUUGCAUCUCCCUGGGUGAUGUUGGGCCAGAAAUGACAGAUCACUGCAAUAACUGAGGCCUUGGGAGCUAACAAACAGAGAGGUCUCUUAGCUGGGGAUGGAAGAGAGUGACAUGUUGGGAAAGGGAUGCUGCCUACUCUAAGGGAAAUAGAAUGCAUAGGCUCCAAGAAGAACAAAAGGGGCAUUGUUCCACUCACCAUCAUCAUGUCUUUGUAAUGCUUGUAUAGUUGGUGUUAAUGCUCACGGCUUUUUUUAAUCUGGGGGUUCUGGUAACCUGUGGUGUAUUUUUUCUAUUUUUCCUGUGACUUUAUUUUUUCUUCCCCUUUCCGUGUUUCUUCCCACUAUGCACAGAUUUACCUGCAAACUCCUUAGUGUGGUCUGUGGGGAAUGUACAAAGUUUAAACACAUCAAUAAACACUUUAACUUCCAGAUUGCUUCUUCUCUU
Geospiza fortis (medium ground-finch) is the source of this 3681-nucleotide long non-coding RNA. The record is from Ensembl. NCBI's taxonomy places the organism in Eukaryota, Metazoa, Chordata, Aves, Passeriformes, Thraupidae.